Long non-coding RNA from Prionailurus viverrinus (fishing cat), 476 nucleotides. RefSeq lists it as uncharacterized. The record is from RefSeq and is a predicted model, not a curated record. The transcript has 5 exons. Lineage: Eukaryota; Metazoa; Chordata; Mammalia; Carnivora; Felidae.
GAGAGAGAGAAAGCUGUGGUGCGCUCCCUCCAACCCUCUGCCCAAGGUCGCUCCAGACUUCUCCAGUAGAGCCCAGAGCUGUGAUAGCCAAGGACCCAGCACAGGAUUUGAGACAUCUGCCUGUUUCCAACCCAGCUACAGGAGAGCUGAGGCUCAGGGUGUCUUGAAUCUGCCUGGAGUCCAUCUUUGUAUUUAGUGUUAGGCAGGGAUCCAGUACUUUGGGCUGCAUGGACUCGGCCAGUUUUCUCAAGGAUGUUUACCAAAUAAUGGGCCCUUCUCCCCAUCAAUUCGUGGCGCUUCCUUAUAAGCUUCCCAGCAUCUCUGAGCAAGAAGAACCGAGAAAGACCAACACCUUGAUUGGAGAAGCGCUCCACCAACAUUGUUUGGAACAAAACUUGAGUGGGUGAAAGAUGAAAAAUGUGUGUGUAAAACAUGCAGAAGAAAAGACGCCAACGUUGGAAUGAACUGAACCACGA